Molecule: ribosomal RNA, 468 nt
Filed under: uncultured bacterium
Lineage: Bacteria
Description: partial 16S ribosomal RNA
Rfam family: Bacterial small subunit ribosomal RNA
Source: RNAcentral
GACGAACGCUGGCGGCGUGCUUAACACAUGCAAGUCGAACGGAAAGGCCCUGCUUUUGUGGGGUGCUCGAGUGGCGAACGGGUGAGUAACACGUGAGUAACCUGCCCUUGACUUUGGGAUAACUUCAGGAAACUGGGGCUAAUAUCGGAUAGGAGCUCCUGCUGCAUGGUGGGGGUUGGAAAGUUUCGGCGGUUGGGGAUGGACUCGCGGCUUAUCAGCUUGUUGGUGGGGUAGUGGCUUACCAAGGCUUUGACGGGUAGCCGGCCUGAGUGGGUGACCGGCCACAUUGGGACUGAGAUACGGCCCAGACUCCUACGGGAGGCAGCAGUGGGGAAUAUUGCACAAUGGGCGGAAGCCUGAUGCAGCAACGCCGCGUGCGGGAUGACGGCCUUCGGGUUGUAAACCGCUUUCGCCUGUGACGAAGCGUGAGUGACGGUAAUGGGUAAAGAAGCACCGGCUAACUACGUG